RNAcentral lists this non-coding RNA (27 nucleotides) under Homo sapiens (human). Lineage: Eukaryota; Metazoa; Chordata; Mammalia; Primates; Hominidae. The record is from RNAcentral.
UGCCUUGCGAAAUAACAGCAGCCUAGC